AGCGAACGCUGGCGGCGUGCCUAACACAUGCAAGUCGAACGUGAAAAGGGAAACCUGAGUAAAGUGGCGUACGGGUGAGUAACGCGUAGGUAAUCUACCCCAGAAUCUGGAAUAACCUGCCGAAAGACGGGCUAAUACUGGAUAGAGCGAGGGAACUCGUAAGAGAGUUUUUCGGGAAAGGGAGCCCGCAAGGGCCUUCGUUCUGGGAUGAGCCUGCGUCUCAUUAGCUAGUUGGUAAGGUAACGGCUUACCAAGGCGAUGAUGAGUAGCUGGUCUGAGAGGAUGAUCAGCCACACUGGAACUGAAACACGGUCCAGACUCCUACGGGAGGCAGCAGUGGGGAAUCUUGCGCAAUGGACGAAAGUCUGACGCAGCCACGCCGCGUGAGUGAAGAAGGCCUUCGGGUUGUAAAGCUCUGUCGGAUGGGACGAACAUCUUCAUAGUGAAUAGCUAUGAGGACUGACGGUACCAUCAAAGGAAGCACCGGCUAACUCCGUG
This 498-nucleotide ribosomal RNA is filed under the name uncultured bacterium. RNAcentral's name for it is "partial 16S ribosomal RNA". It matches the Rfam family "Bacterial small subunit ribosomal RNA", at positions 29 to 507 of the family's 1533-position model. The record is from RNAcentral.